Molecule: ribosomal RNA, 120 nt
Filed under: Schistocephalus solidus
Lineage: Eukaryota; Metazoa; Platyhelminthes; Cestoda; Diphyllobothriidea; Diphyllobothriidae
Source: RNAcentral
GUCAGUGACCGUAGUGCGUAGAAGCCUCCGGUACUCCUCCAAUCACCGAAGCUAAACUAUGUUGGGCUUGGUUAGUACUUUUUUUGGAUAAUCGGCUGGGCAUGUCAAGUUCUGCUGACC